RNAcentral lists this long non-coding RNA (191 nucleotides) under Sinocyclocheilus grahami. RNAcentral's name for it is "lncRNA (ENSSGRG00000009174.1)". Lineage: Eukaryota; Metazoa; Chordata; Actinopteri; Cypriniformes; Cyprinidae. The record is from RNAcentral.
GGACACCGAGUAUAGCUCAUCAGGAGAGGAGGGACCCCCAAAUGUUCCUCCUCCUCCUCUUCCCCCAGUAGCUCCACCUUCACCUCCACCACCACCUCCCCAGUACAUCGUCCUGCUCCUCGGGAAGAGCAUGAAGAAGAUUAUUUUGCAGAUGAUGAGGAGGAGGAGGAGGAGCAGCAAGAAUAGGAGUG